RNAcentral lists this ribosomal RNA (446 nucleotides) under uncultured bacterium. RNAcentral describes it as "partial 16S ribosomal RNA". It matches the Rfam family "Bacterial small subunit ribosomal RNA", at positions 338 to 795 of the family's 1533-position model. The record is from RNAcentral.
CCUACGGGUGGCAGCAGUCGAGAAUCAUUCACAAUGGGGGAAACCCUGAUGGUGCGACGCCGCGUGGGGGAAUGAAGGUCUUCGGAUUGUAAACCCCUGUCAUGUGGGAGCAAAUUAAAAAGAUAGUACCCCAAGAGGAAGAGACGGCUAACUCUGUGCCAGCAGCCGCGGUAAUACAGAGGGCUCAAGCGUUGUUCGGAAUCACUGGGCGUAAAGCGUGCGUAGGCUGUUUCGUAAGUCGUGUGUGAAAGGCGCGGGCUCAACCCGCGGACGGCACAUGAUACUGCGAGACUAGAGUAAUGGAGAGGGAACCGGAAUUCGCGGUGUAGCAGUGAAAUGCGUAGAUAUCGAGAAGAACACUCGUGGCGAAGGCGGGUUCCUGGACAUUAACUGACGCUGAGGCACGAAGGCCAGGGGAGCGAAAGGGAUUAGAUACCCGUGUAGUC